GGCAAUGCUGUGGAAAGGGCAGAAAAUCUUGGAUGACACCGAUUUCAGGUACCACUGUGAUCACAAACACUAUGGCCAAUGCGUUGAUCGCUGCGUAAAGAAGAUAGGUGCCUGCAAACCACGCAUACAGAUAAAAUUUAUGCAUCAAGUGGUCGUCUUUUGAUGGUUCUGUUGGAUAAGAGAGGGAAGGCUUACAGUGACUGAGCGUAUGUAUCUACGCUGGAACAAAUCAAGGAGUUUGGCUUUCGGGAGACGCUCAAGAGUUUCUAUG
Molecule: long non-coding RNA, 271 nt
Organism: Tripterygium wilfordii
Lineage: Eukaryota; Viridiplantae; Streptophyta; Magnoliopsida; Celastrales; Celastraceae
Exons: 3
Source: RefSeq, a predicted model, not a curated record